UAGCAAGAGCAGAUGCCCGCCA
This 22-nucleotide non-coding RNA is filed under the name Mus musculus (house mouse). The record is from RNAcentral. Lineage: Eukaryota; Metazoa; Chordata; Mammalia; Rodentia; Muridae.